This 112-nucleotide microRNA precursor is filed under the name Polistes canadensis. RNAcentral's name for it is "microRNA pca-mir-281 precursor". Its record names the gene pca-mir-281. The stretch from base 7 to 92 matches the Rfam family "mir-46/mir-47/mir-281 microRNA precursor family". From Rfam's summary of the family: The hairpin precursors (represented here) are predicted based on base pairing and cross-species conservation -- their extents are not known. In this case the mature sequences are expressed from the 3' arms of the hairpin precursors. The record is from miRBase by way of RNAcentral. Lineage: Eukaryota; Metazoa; Arthropoda; Insecta; Hymenoptera; Vespidae.
AAAACAAGGCGCGAACUAUGAAGAGAGCUAUCCAUCGACAGUAUGGUAAAAAAAGACACUGUCAUGGAGUUGCUCUCUUUGUGGACGCCGUCCUAUACAACGACGACUAACU